Molecule: non-coding RNA, 1894 nt
Organism: Misgurnus anguillicaudatus (oriental weatherfish)
Lineage: Eukaryota; Metazoa; Chordata; Actinopteri; Cypriniformes; Cobitidae
Source: RefSeq, a predicted model, not a curated record
AUUGGUCCGACCGCAACGUCGUGUCCCUGGCCAAAAAUAGUCGCGGUAUGACGGCACAAAUCGGUGAAAAUAUGUAACACAGAACAUUUCAUAAAAAUGCAUUCAGAUACAUUUGUACAUGUCUAUAGUUCUAUGGGGUUGCAUGUAUAAUUGUUACUUUGACUUUUACUACGCGUGCUUCAAUAUUUAUACCCUGUUGUGAAUCGGUUGUAAGAGGACGUCACUAGGUGACGUCUUUUACACGUGCAUUUAUAGUCCAUCAUGACCCUCUAUAAAAAAAUCAUAAACCUUCUAUAAAGUCAUUGUGAAAUAUGCAAAUGCUGUGCUUACACCUUGGUUAAUACUGCAAAAAUUAAUUUAAGUGCAAAAAGUAGGUUUUUAAGAGGUUGUGAAUAGACGUCCACUGACGUCUUUUACACGUCUAGACUAGACUAGUAGGAAAAAAACAGGAUAAUCUUUAUGAAAUACACGAUUUGUAUACAAAGUAAAUAUAUUAACUUUAUCUUGUUUAAAUAAAUUAUAAUCACAAAGUGCCCAGUGUGAUUGCAAAGCCACACUGCAUUUUAGUCAUUAUUCCAACCUGUUUUAUUAUUGAAUGUAUGCAUAUAAAUGUAAAACAGAUACAUAUCCGGUCACCAUUUAGGUCUGAGUUGGAUGUUAUUUCAAAAACUGUGCUAUUAAUUUAAGAAAUAUAGUGAUAAAUCUGGGGAUAUUACAAAAUCCCGCGAUAGGACAGAUUAUCUCGCGAGAUAGUGGUGACGUCACGCGUUCUUCCGGAAGUUCACAUUCAAACACGAGGAGCGAUUACGAGGGAGUUUUGUCUAUAUAUCAUUCAAAAUCUACUGUUGGGAAAAGCAGAACCUCAUCCAAAUAAAAAUAAACAAGCUGUUAAAGGCACUGUGUCCUACACAGACCCUCCAAAAUAUAACCACCCAAAACCCAAGUCAGUUGAAGGUCAACACAAACCAAAUAAAGAUGUGCAUUCUACAAACAAUAAAAAAAAGAUCAAGUUUUGUGUCCACCACACUUAGAUGAGGCGUGCCCGACCCCUGACUUUGUCUACCCUACAUUAAGUUGCACACUUCAUGACAGUAAACAUCGGUAUCACAAUGGUGUGAUUGAUCUAUACCCUAGAAUAAGCUGUGACACUAUGAGACGUGAGGUAACACAACGAAAAAAUUACCGGAUGGAGACUACCUGAUUCUUCACCUAUGGCCUCAGCUUCAAAUGCAACAUGUCCAGCAACUGUCUGAGUUGGUGGAUAUUCUGUCAGAGACUGCGUGAACAACGUUAUGAACAGAAUGAUGUCAAAUUGUCUUAUGGCAAAGUUCAAUAUGAGGGGUGGUGGACAUCUGGAAAAGAAGUCUUUUAAAGGCACACCUUUGUAUUAUGUUAUUCAAGAUGCUGUGAAGAGGUGGAGCCCAAAUGCCACAGACUCGGAAAUAGAUGCAGCUAUGGCAGACCACCUCAAGCACGCUCCAGGAAGAGCUGGGGUGGUGGAUACAAAAAAGCCAAACAGCUGUGAUGUGUUAAAGAGAGAAGUCACCAAAAAAGGAAAAUUGUUAUAAUUUUCUUAUCCACAUGUUUCAAACCUGUAUACCUUUAUAUUUUCUGCUGAACACAAAGAUUGAAGAAUGUUUGUAACUUCACAACCAAUUAACUGUCAAUAUUUUUUUUACAAUUGUAGUAAUGGGUUGUGAGAUCUGCCUUGUUAAAAACAUUCUUUCACAUAUCUUUGUGUUUAGCAGAACAUAGAAGGGUAUACAGGUUUGAAACAUGAGAGGGAAUAAAUGACUAAAUAUUAAUUUUUGGGUGAACUAUCCCUUUAUAGAAAGUGUUUUGAAGUUGUUAUUAUAGUUAAAUGGUUAAAAAAAUAAAAAGUGCUAAAUCAGAA